RNAcentral lists this long non-coding RNA (603 nucleotides) under Zostera marina. RNAcentral's name for it is "long non-coding RNA (ZMAR_LNC000281)". The record is from RNAcentral. Lineage: Eukaryota; Viridiplantae; Streptophyta; Magnoliopsida; Alismatales; Zosteraceae.
UCUUAUCAUCGAGAUCUACCUUGUACAACCCAAGCUCAACAACCUCGAAUCUCAGGCCGACGAUGCUCUUCUCAAAUCCCCCCACCAUUUCCACUGCUCUCUUCUUCUCCUCUUCGCUAAGAUCGCCAUACAGAAGACUCAGAUGCGGCAUGUAUUCUGUUCGUUAAUUAACCAACACUAAUUGCUUCGUUUAAUUUCACCAUCAUCAAUCAAACAUUAACUAAUAAUCACAGAUUCAUACCUGCGUUGCUUUCCAGAUCCUGAUGUGCACAGCAACGAUUGCUCGUCUCCACCACCUACGAGAUGGAUUAACAGGAAUUACUAAAUUCGAUCUAAUAGAAAGAGGACCAACAGAGAGAGAACACUCCACAACACGAACGUACCUCGUCCGUAGGAUCGAUGAGCAGGAAAACGCACUGGUAGAAAAAGGUGCCACGGUCGAUUCCCGUAACGCCGGCUGUGUAUGGUUUAAGGUCGAGACAUGAGGCCUGGAAGCGACGGAGGGCUUCGGAUCGGGUUUGACGAAAACAACUCACCACGGUGAUGUGAGGCUCGAAAUCCGGUGCGUCGAAUUCGGAUCGGAGAGAUGACAUCAGAUCUUUC